Non-coding RNA from Castor canadensis (American beaver), 2442 nucleotides. The record is from RefSeq and is a predicted model, not a curated record. NCBI's taxonomy places the organism in Eukaryota, Metazoa, Chordata, Mammalia, Rodentia, Castoridae.
GGAUUUUAGUAGCUUGAGUUCCAAUGCUUCAGAUGGAGAGUUGUUUUCCCCUACUCCCUUUCUGGGCCUUUAGAAAAAAACUUCAUAAACUCACUCCCAGGUUCCCCGGGCUGGUGAGCGGGUAUGGGUGGCGGGGAGCACGUGGGUUCUUCAGUGGUGGGCUGAGGGUCUUCCCCACGCCCCCCCCCAACCCUCCCACCUGCGUCCCAGACAAGCUCCGCUCCCACCCCCGCCUUCAGUGGGCCGACCUGGCUCCCCCUCCGCUAGGCUCAGUGGACAAACCCGUAUCCUGGACCCGCCCCUGUUCAGUAUCCGCGGCGCCCUACGCUCGCCAGAUUGUGCCACCGGGCGGGGAGAAAGGGGUGCACUUCUGUACGCAGGGUGCGGAGCCGGCCGUUUUGGAGACCGCAGCUCGGCGGAGCGUUGUGGAGAGCUGUUUGGUUUCCUCCGCACCUCGGUCACGGGGCUACCGCGCUGGAGCCUGCGGCGACCUGAGCGAGUGCUGCGAGCAGCAGCGCGCUGUCUCCCCCUCGGUGGGAGCGGUGGUUGGGCCCGGCUGCGGCAGAGCGUUCGCUCGGAGAUGGCGGAGCCGCCGCGACGCGGCCCGAGGCCCCGAGAGCAGGGAACCCGGGCAGCCCCGGGACGCGGCGGAGCCCGGGGACAGCGGGGACGCCGCCCACUCCGCCGGGUGAGCCGCCCUUGAGGAGAGCAAACACCCCCCCACCCCCACCACCCCCGGCUCAGGAUGACUCCGCUUGCAGUUCCUCUCCUUGCAGACUUCCCGUAUGAAGCUAAAAUCCUUAACAGCAUGGGCUCUGGAGCUUGACAGACCUGACUUUGAAUCCGUUCCUCUACUGACUGAGCUGUGUGUUCCUGGCAAGUUACCAAACUUCUCUGAGCCUCAAGUUACUCAUGGGUAAAAUGGGAAUAUUAGUACCGACUUCAUUCCUAUCUCUUAGGGCUGGUGUGAGAAUUAAAUACAGAUGCUCCUCGAUUUCUGAUGGGGUCGCAUCCUGAUAAAUCCCUCAUAAACUGAAGACAUGCUAAAUGAAGAAUGCAUGUAAUACACCUAGCAUAUAAAGCAUGAUAAUUUAGCAACAUAGUACACUGUAGAGUGUCAGUUGAACCUGAUCAUGUGACUGACUGGGAGCCACCACUGCCUCAUAAGAAAUUCUGCCAGACUAGGAAAAGAACAAAAUUCAAAAUUUGAGAGAAUGGGGUGAUAACUCCAGGGUAGAGCACUUGCAUAGCAUGUACGAGGCCCUGAGUUCAAGCCCCAGCACCAAAACACAAAACAAUUUGAAUGCUUAUCAUUUGUGUACCAUUGUAAACUGAACCAUCCCAGGUCAGGAGUCAUCUGUAUAUGUAAAACUCUUGGAAGAAUGUUUGAUAGAUGCUAUACUAAGCUCUCAAUAAAUAUUAAUUAUUAACAUGGGUGAUAUACCCAAAGUGUCAACUUGCUUUCAGUGACUUUUCAUUACUGUGUUUUCCCCUUAAGUUUCCUCUAAUUGUUAGGAGUCACCUCUUCCCAUCAUCUUUCGCUCUCUCUCUUUCUUUCUUCCUCUCUCUCUCCCUCCCUCCCUCUUCCCAUCAUCUGUCUUUCUUUCCUUUCUUUUGUUCCUUUCUUUUUUUGUUUGGUUCUAGAGAUUGAACUCAGCCUCACACAUGCUAACCAUGUGCUGGGCCACUGAGCUACAACUCCAGGCCCUGUCACAAUUUUCAUUCUCUCCCAACUCUUCUCAUGUCAAUCAGUUUUACCCAGGCCAAAGUUGAAUGCUUCUUAAAUCAGCUCAAUUCUGAAGGACCCUGUCUCUGCCUAACCACUGCUGAAAUGUGUAUACAGGGGUGGGUGGUAGAGAGGAAUUGCCAGUGUUAGUAGGAGUGGUGAAGGUAAAAAGAGUGCCAGAAGCAAUGUGUUUAAGAAAAAAAAAAACUCAAGUAGGUGUCCUUAAAACCUUUCUGAUCAUAGUACCCUUACUCUUUCUCUUUAGUCGGAUAUGACUUAAGUUUCUGUUGCCCUCUGUCAUCAUCCACCAUUCAAUUCACUGUUUUUUGUAUCAACUCAGUCCCUCAUGUCUUUCCAGACUAGCUCAGGAGCCCUCCGGAGUAUUCAAGAAUGGGGAUAUAGUACCUACAUUAGGAAGGAGAACUAGAGUGAAUAAGGAGAGGACUUUCUGGCUUUUCACAAGUCCUAGUGACGUGGCCUGCUCUGGGGCUACAUUUUUAUCUUCUUUCUUGACUCUGGCACAAGUGAGGUGAAGAGCAAGUGGUAGGUAGUUUUUUGACAAACAAUGAAAAAGAGUCUCCAAGUUUUGGGUUCAUGAGCUAAUAGAAUGGGGCAGGCACAGUGGCUGACACCUGUAGUCAACAGUAUUCAGGAGAUGGAGAUCAAGAGGAUCACAAUUCAAGGCCAGCCAGGGCAAAAAGUUGGUGAGACUGCAU